Molecule: ribosomal RNA, 253 nt
Filed under: uncultured microorganism
Description: partial 16S ribosomal RNA
Rfam family: Bacterial small subunit ribosomal RNA
Source: RNAcentral
UACGUAGGGUGCGAGCGUUAAUCGGAUUUACUGGGCGUAAAGCGUGCGCAGGCGGCCCGUUAAGACAGGUGUGAAAUCCCUGGGCUCAACCUAGGAAUUGCGCUUGUGACUGGCGGGCUCGAGUACGGUAGAGGGGGGUGGAAUUCCUGGUGUAGCAGUGAAAUGCGUAGAGAUCAGGAGGAACACCGAUGGCGAAGGCAGUCCCCUGGGCCUGUACUGACGCUCAUGCACGAAAGCGUGGGGAGCAAACAGG